ACCCUGGCUCUGGAAGCAGGUGUCUCCAGUAGUCCAACAUGAGUUCCUGUUCCCAUCUCAAGUUUCAUGCAACUUUUCAUCCUUGCCUUGAACAAAGCCCUUUUAUUUCUGGGUGGUGUUGUGAAAAUUGUUUUUGCAGUUACCAGUAAGGCAGAAAAGAAUGGAUCACCACUAUAGAAUUACGUAAAUUUUACAUUCCCAAUUUAGAAAUGUCCAUGCAUGGGAGAAAUACUGGGAAGAGCUUCUCUUCAGAAAUUAUCCCUGGAUUGUGGAAUAACAGGAAAUUUUUAAGUGUAUUGUCUUUAUAAUAAAAACUAUUAAAAUGACUAUAAUAAAUUAGGAUUUAAUAUGUGACAAAAACUGUAAGAAGUUGCCACUAUAUCUUAUUUCUCACUAGAAAUCUAGAAGAUCCUUUUUUAAAAGAUAUAAAUGUUAACCUAUUUUUAAAAUUGUGGUAGAAUAUAUAUAACAUGAAAUUUGCCUUUCUGACCACUUUUAAAUAUAUAGUUCUGUGGCAUUAAGUACAUUCACUGUGGGAUCUGUCUCUCUCUCUCUUUUUUAAGUUCAUCAAUUUUAUAAACAAGGAAGCUAAAACUAGGAAAACAAAGUUGCUUGCCUCGGGUCACAGAGAUUAAGUAGUUCCAGAGACAGGAUUUGAACCCAGGACCCUGAAAAUCAGAGCUCUGGGAUUUCUGGUUAGUGGUUGUUGGGGACCUAUGGUUACUUACCCUGCCCCACACUUACUGCAUAUUUGCAGAAAACCAGCCUGUUCAUGUGUGUCUCUCCUCUGGAAGUCCUAGGGUUAGGUCUCUAUUUGUCAUGGAGGUGGCUGAUGAGCCUGGCUCGGUGUACAUGUGGUUGACGCAGGGGGCCACCUGUUGAUGGACAUGAGGGCUGAUGAAGGUUGAAGCGUGUGGGCUACUGUGUUGGGUAGGGUUGGGUGUUAGACUUUUCCAGAAGGUUCUCAGAGAGGGGUGCCCUGGAAAGAGCAGUGGCUUGGAGCUCAGAUACCUGGCUUCAUCUAGUCUGCGCUUGGAGUUCAAAGGUCUGUGCUUUUGUGCUUAUGUCACCGUGUGGUCAACGUGCUUUGUCCUCAGUGUCCUCAUUUCUAAGUGGGUGGUAAAAGGGCUUGUUCUGCUUGCCUUCCACGAUUGUAGAUGUUGACAUGUCAAGAUGUGGGGGAAAGUGCUAGGUGAACUAGGGGUUGUCGGGCAGUUUCUAGGAUGGGAAUUUUUUUUAAGGUUUUAUUUAUUAAUGAGAGACAUAGAGAGAGGUAGAGACCUAGCAGAGAGAGAAGCAGGCUCCCCACAGGGAGCCAAUGCAAGACUCGAUCCCAGGACCCCGGGGUCACAACCUGAGCUGAAGGCAGAUGCUCAGUCACUGAGCCACCCAGGUGCCCCUAGGAGGGGAAUUUUUUUUUUUUUAAACUUUUAUUUAUUUAUGAUAGGCACACAGUGAGAGAGAGAGAGAGGGGCAGAGACACAGGCAGAGGGAGAAGCAGGCUCCAUGCACCGGGAGCCCGACGUGGGAUUCGAUCCCAGGUCUCCAGGACCGCGCCCUGGGCCAAAGGCAGGCGCCAAACCGCUGCGCCACCCAGGGAUCCCUAGGAGGGGAAUUUUGAAUAUGCCAUGGCAGAGGGGAGUGUCUAGGGCUGACCCAGAAGGUCUGACGGGGAUGGAUUUGAAGGUGAAGAGUAGCAGGGUUGCUUCGCUUUGUUGUCUUUCGCUUUGGCCGUCAGCUUGUCUCCUCCACCAUGGCUUAGUUGGUGAAGAACAGCAUUCCACUGUUUGCCUACUACCAUAGGUUGGGAUGCUCUGAGAUUUUCUAGAAUGGGUCUCUUUCAAGGUCCAUGGAUUUACCCUUCCUGAGACUCACAUCUCAGGUGAAAUGAACUGUCAUGUCGGAAAUCAUUUUUUAGCCAUGUGUUUCUGGACUUGUCUGUCUUCCCUGUCUUUACAGCAGACACCAGUCUGUCUUUCUGUCAUCUGAUCUUGAGCGGCCAAGCAUAGGAGCAGGCUGGGAUCUGGAGGUCGUGCAGGUCGGGGUGCGGGGAGGAGCUCACCUUCUCAUGGUAGAUGCCAUGCUUGUUCCCCCCACACUAAGACACUGUGCUCUGUGCAGGACCCUGGGUGCAAUCUCAAGAUAAAGGUGGGGCCUCACUCUCAAAAAAAGCCACUAUUUAUAGGGGAAGAUGCACAUCCUCAGGAUACAGUACAAGGGCGAGGACAGGUAGCUUGACAAGUGACUGUCUCGAGAAGUGCAGCAUCUAGUGCAAAUGAAUGAAAGUGCAUUGUUGGGGCAGGCCAGAGGUGAGCAGCUGCUAGCAGGACUUCUGUGUCUAGGGUUUCUGUCUGGCCACCCCCAAGACAGUCUUUUGAGUCAUUAUUGUAUCAGUGCAUGUUUCAUGCAACCAGAAAUCCAGGGGUGCAGGAUCUGCUGAAGUCCGUGGCCCUGUCUCAGCAGCCACUUGCUUCUGGCUUUGAGCACGGUGCUCAAAGACGAAGUAGGUCACGGGUAUCUAUUUUGAAGCAUACGUGGCUGGGCUGCAUGGCCAUUUAAUUUCCGGAUCAGAUCCUGUCCGACUUGUUUGUUGGGGAGGUUGGCAGGAAGCGCUCUCUGGUUGGUUGUGCAGUGUAUUUAUAAAGUGUGAAGAGUCUGGAGGUAAUGGGAUGCUCCCCUCCUGCAUUCCUGUAGGAGAGCCGUCGGUGGAGAGGUUUCAGAAACCUUCAGGACGCCACGGGCGUAUGGUUGGUUUCCACCCUGCUUCUUUGAAUUUUCUGAAAACUGUUGAUCCUCGCUAACUUCAUGAAACCUUUUUUCUUUUAAGAAAUCCAGUGCCCCAUACCCAGUGUCUUCUAAGCAGAGUCUGGCCUUUUGUCCCACACCACUUUGGUUUCAGGAGCCCUGGGGAUGGAAGACAUCCUGGCUGGGAGCAGGGAAGUGUGGGAGCAACUCCCCAGUCUCUUCCCAGGCGAGAUGUGACCUCCCAGCUGUGGGUGUUGGGGAUGGGUCCCCCAACUCAAAGCAGCUUCUGGGCAGAACUGGAGUUAUGUCUUCAGCUGUCACUCAGAUGUCACUGGAGCUCGGGAUUCUCAGUUUUUACUCUUCGUUGGAUUUUCCUGUAUUUCCCUCUUUUUCUCUAGGUGUUCUUACCUGAGGCCAUGGGUGAGUACAAGGAGAUGGUGAGCUCCACCAGAUAGUGCAGGUGGUAAUGGAGUCUUUUAGCCACCUCGCCUGUACGUACCAGCUGUUGACUGGAAUAUUCCCCCAUCUUUGGUAUUCCAUGCUCUCUCUGUUUUUGAGGAGUAAACAGGUUUAGGUGUGUGUUUGCUGUGUCCUUCUCUACAGUGCCUUUCCCCUAGGCUACUCACAGAGUCCUGGCAGUAAUGCUACUGCCCAUGGUCAUUUAUAUUUGCUGGCAUGUUGGAAUGUUUGGGUGCUGGCAGAGGCAUUGCUUCAUUGAGUACCCCCAGCAGGCCAUUGUCACCACAUUUUACACAUACGGAUUCUCAAGGGAUGCCACAGACCUGAGACUUUUAGGUAGCACACCCCAUAGCUUCCUCUGGAAGUUUAGUAGGAAACACCAGAGAAGGUGUUUAUUUAAAAUCCAUUGUAUUCUGAAAGCGAGAGAACCUCCUCCUCAGAUACUGUCCCUGCUGGCUGGUUUGUGGUGCGGUUCCCUGCCAGGAGUGCCUGGGCCCAUCCUGAUUUCUCUCCAGCCUUUUUACUUAAUCUGCCUGAGUUUGUAUCCUAGAAAUUGGAGUAUACUAAUAUCUGAAAGACAUAAAUGAGACAAUGUACAUAAAAUCACUCAGGACUCAAUGAAUGGUUUAUUACGUUCUGUCUUUAACCCACUGUGACUUGCAGCUGCCACAGACCUCUGCUUCUGCAGCCCCGUCAGGGAGAUAGACCUGGAGUCCUGGCAGGCCUCAUUGCGGUGGAUGCCCACAGGAUGCUUUUCUUCAAGGUCUUGGCAUGGUGGUGGUAGUGGUGGUUUCUCGACCUGAAUGCAUUAUAAAUGAGAAAUUUGCAAGCUGUGGUUUUUCUUACUAAAAGAAUUGCAAGUAGGAUUAAGCACAGGACUGUCCAGCAUGAACCGCUCCCUGCUUGGGCGUCCAGGCUUCAGCCACAGGAUUUGGUACAGUGGGUGACAGUUAACCUGUUUGUCCAUCUGCUCAGCUCAGUGGGAAGCUCUGCAGGGGCAGGGACUUGGUCCAUGCCUUGUGAUAGCCUAGGCAGCUUAUGUGUCGUACUCUGUGAGGAGCACGGUUGAUAUGGGCGCCUGUGUGGCUCAGUGGUUGAGCGUCUGCCUUUGGCUCAGGUUGUGAUCCCGGAGUCCUGGGACCAAGUCCUCAUCGGGCUCCCUGUGGGGAGCCUGCUUCUCCCUCUGCCUGUGUCUUGCCUCUCUCUCUGAGUCUCUCAUGAAUAAAUAAAA
This 4435-nucleotide long non-coding RNA is filed under the name Canis lupus familiaris (dog). RNAcentral's name for it is "lncRNA (ENSCAFG00000058993.1, ENSCAFG00805022957.1)". Lineage: Eukaryota; Metazoa; Chordata; Mammalia; Carnivora; Canidae. The record is from RNAcentral.